Molecule: ribosomal RNA, 252 nt
Filed under: uncultured bacterium
Lineage: Bacteria
Description: partial 16S ribosomal RNA
Rfam family: Bacterial small subunit ribosomal RNA
Source: RNAcentral
UACGUAGGGUCCAAGCGUUAAUCGGAAUUACUGGGCGUAAAGCGUGCGCAGGCGGUUCUGAAAGUCAGCUGUGAAAGCCCCGGGCUUAACCUGGGAAUUGCGGUUGAAACUACAGGGCUAGAAUCUGGCAGAGGGGGGUGGAAUUCCACGUGUAGCAGUGAAAUGCGUAGAGAUGUGGAGGAACACCGAUGGCGAAGGCAGCCUCCUGGGCCAGCACUGACGCUCAUGCACGAAAGCCAGGGAGCAAACGGG